RNAcentral lists this ribosomal RNA (479 nucleotides) under uncultured bacterium. RNAcentral describes it as "partial 16S ribosomal RNA". It matches the Rfam family "Bacterial small subunit ribosomal RNA", at positions 28 to 507 of the family's 1533-position model. The record is from RNAcentral.
GAUGAACGCUAGCGGGAGGCCUAACACAUGCAAGCCGAGCGGUAGAGUUUCUUCGGAAACUUGAGAGCGGCGCACGGGUGCGUAACACGUGUGCAACCUACCUUUAUCUGGGGGAUAGCCUUUCGAAAGGAAGAUUAAUACCCCAUAAUAUAAUGAUUGGCAUCAAUUAUUAUUGAAAACUCCGGUGGAUAGAGAUGGGCACGCGCAAGAUUAGAUAGUUGGUGAGGUAACGGCUCACCAAGUCAAUGAUCUUUAGGGGUCCUGAGAGGGAGAUCCCCCACACUGGUACUGAGACACGGACCAGACUCCUACGGGAGGCAGCAGUGAGGAAUAUUGGACAAUGGGUGAGAGCCUGAUCCAGCCAUCCCGCGUGAAGGAUGACGGUCCUAUGGAUUGUAAACUUCUUUUGUACCGGGAUAAACCUACCCUCGUGAGGGUAGCUGAAGGUACUGUACGAAUAAGCACCGGCUAACUCCGUG